RNAcentral lists this ribosomal RNA (497 nucleotides) under uncultured bacterium. RNAcentral's name for it is "partial 16S ribosomal RNA". It matches the Rfam family "Bacterial small subunit ribosomal RNA", at positions 28 to 507 of the family's 1533-position model. The record is from RNAcentral.
GAUGAACGCUGGCGGCGUGCCUAAUACAUGCAAGUCGAGCGAACAGACGAGGAGCUUGCUCCUCUGACGUUAGCGGCGGACGGGUGAGUAACACGUGGAUAACCUACCUAUAAGACUGGGAUAACUUCGGGAAACCGGAGCUAAUACCGGAUAAUAUAUUGAACCGCAUGGUUCAAUAGUGAAAGACGGUUUUGCUGUCACUUAUAGAUGGAUCCGCGCCGCAUUAGCUAGUUGGUAAGGUAACGGCUUACCAAGGCAACGAUGCGUAGCCGACCUGAGAGGCUGAUCGGCCACCCUGGAACUGAGCCACCGUCCAGACUCCUACGGGACGCACCAGUCGGGAAUCUUCCGCAAUGGGCGAAAGCCUGACGGAGCAACCCCGCGUGAGUGAUGAAGGUCUUCGGAUCGUAAAACUCUGUUAUUAGGGAAGAACAAAUGUGUAAGUAACUAUGCACGUCUUGACGGUACCUAAUCAGAAAGCCCCGGCUAACUACGUG